CCUACGGGUGGCUGCAGUGGGGAAUAUUGGACAAUGGGGGGAACCCUGAUCCAGCCAUGCCGCGUGUGUGAAGAAGGCCCUCGGGUUGUAAAGCACUUUCAGUGAGGAAGAACGCCUGGUGGUUAAUACCCAUCAGGAAAGACAUCACUCACAGAAGAAGCACCGGCUAACUCCGUGCCAGCAGCCGCGGUAGUACGGAGGGUGCGAGCGUUAAUCGGAAUUACUGGGCGUAAAGCGCGCGUAGGUGGCUUGAUAAGCCGGUUGUGAAAGCCCCGGGCUCAACCUGGGAACGGCAUCCGGAACUGUCAAGCUAGAGUGCAGGAGAGGAAGGUAGAAUUCCCGGUGUAGCGGUGAAAUGCGUAGAGAUCGGGAGGAAUACCAGUGGCGAAGGCGGCCUUCUGGACUGACACUGACACUGAGGUGCGAAAGCGUGGGUAGCAAACAGGAUUAGAUACCCUAGUAGUC
RNAcentral lists this ribosomal RNA (465 nucleotides) under Vreelandella stevensii. RNAcentral's name for it is "partial 16S ribosomal RNA". It matches the Rfam family "Bacterial small subunit ribosomal RNA", at positions 338 to 795 of the family's 1533-position model. The record is from RNAcentral. Lineage: Bacteria; Pseudomonadati; Pseudomonadota; Gammaproteobacteria; Oceanospirillales; Halomonadaceae.